This 4405-nucleotide unclassified non-coding RNA is filed under the name Hevea brasiliensis (rubber tree). The record is from RNAcentral. Lineage: Eukaryota; Viridiplantae; Streptophyta; Magnoliopsida; Malpighiales; Euphorbiaceae.
AAAAAAAAAAAAAAAAAAAGAGGCAGAUUUGGUAUGGCACAACUAGGGCUCACUGCACACCCUCAAUUGUUGAAUUCUUAUCUAGACUUUUGCUUUUUUACUAUUUCAUUUGUUUCAACUUCUAAUAAUUUGAUAUCUUAUUCUUUUUCUUUGAAUUCUAGAGUCCUUUAUCAUUUUAUUUAUGUAUUCAUCUUUCUAUUGCUUUUCUUUAUUUCGUGUUUUCAAUCUUGUCUUGAAUUUCAAAUUUGUUAAAUAUUACAAGUUGGUUACUUUGAGUGAGUUUGGUUAGUUCCUUAAAGAGCUAAAACGAAAAAUUAAAGAGUACAAAAAGGCAAGAAUAUGUGAGCACAUAAGAGGGUAAAAGUCUAAAUUGUGUGAAUCACGAGUGGAGUGACAUUGAUUGAGUGUAAACACGUGAGGGAGAGUUGUGAGGAUAUUUGCUAACAUUCUUUUGCAGGUUUUACAAUUAUGUCACACAAAAAUAGUGAAGAAGAGAAACCAGAUCAGUUCUUCAUAAUGCAAGUUAUUCAACAACAGUAUGAGCAAUUGGCUUUGAUACUUGGAGACAUGAGGAAUCAAAUGCAAAGACAAGGCUAGACUAAAUAGGCAAGAUGCUACUAUAGGUAACUUGCAAAGGGAGAGGCCUAAUGCUAGGAGGCAAGCUAGACACAACAACAACUCUCCCCCUAAAAAGUUCGAAGAUAAGCAGGAUGAUGAAGAUGAGAAUAAUGAUAAUCAGGCUUUGAUCAUAAAUGAGGACAUAUUUUAUCAGAGAAGAGAAAGGCAUGAAACGAGACCAAGGAGAGAUGACAGGGGUAGUGAUAGCAUUAAUCGAAACAUUUGGAGCAUCAAAAUGAAAAUUCCAUCUUUCCAAGGGAAGAAUGAUCCAGAUGUUUACCUUGAGUGGGAACGCAAAGUUGAGCUAGUCUUUGACUGUCACAACUAUUUAGAAGAUAAAAAGGUAAAACUUGCUGCUGUUGAAUUUACUGACUAUGCUCUUGUAUGGUGGAUCAAAUGAUUUUGAGCAAAAGAAGAAACAGAGAGGCCUAUUGACACCUGGGAUGAGAUGAAAGCUGUCAUGAGAAGAAGAUUUGUCUCUAACCAUUAUUACAGAGAAUUGCAUCAAAGGCUGCAAAGAAUCACACAAGGGACAAAGAGUGUGGAAGAAUACCAUAAGGAGAUGGAGAUGGCUAUGAUUCAGGCAAAUGUUGAGGAGGACAGAGAAGCCACAAUGGCUCGAUUCUUAGGUGGUUUAAAUAAAGAAAUGGCUGAUUUAGUUGAGUUGUAGCAUUAUGUGGAGCUAGAGGACAUGGUGCAUAUGGCCAUGAAAAUUGAAAAGCAACUCAGGAGGAAAAGGAUGCCGAGAUAUGGGAGUAGCACAAGUUCGGUUCCUAACAGCUCAUGGAAACCGAAUUGGCCCAAGAAGGAGGAUAAGGUCGUUUCUAAGCCUAAGCAUGAAGAAAGUAAGAGUAAGCCUCAUGGGGAUAACAAAAAUAAAGGUAUGAAUUCUUCCCAAUCUCAAACAAAUAGAGAUACAAAGUGUGUUAGAUGUUUGGGGAUAGGUCAUAUUGCUUCACAAUGCCCCAAUAAAAGGGCAAUGAUCUUAAGGGAUAAUGGAGAUAUAGAGACUGAGAGUGAUGAAGAUAGUGAUUCUAUGCCUCCAUUAGAAGAUGCUACUGAUGUGGAGUAUGCUGUAGAGGGGAGUGCAUUAGUUACAAGGAGAGCAUUGAAUAUACAAGUGAAGGGAGAGGUUGGUGAAGAGGAGCAAAGGGAAAAUAUAUUUCACACUAGAUGCCUCAUUCAGGAUAAAGCAUGUAGUAUGAUAAUAGAUGGAGGUAGUUGUACCAAUGUAGCUAGUACACUAUUGGUUGAGAAAUUGAAGUUGCCUACUUUGAAACAUCCUAGGCCAUACAAGUUACAAUGGUUAAAUGAAUGUGGAGAAGUUAAAGUGACUAAGCAAGCACUAGUUGCUUUUUCCAUUGGUAGAUAUCAUGAUGAGGUUAUAUGUGAUGUGGUGCCUAUGCAUGCUGGUCAUCUGUUGCUUAGUAGACCAUGACGGUUUGAUAGGCAAGCGAUACAUGAUGCUCACAGAAAUCGGUAUUCUUUUGAAAAGGAUGGCCGAAAGAUAACAUUGGCUCCAUUAACUCCUAGACAAGUAUAUGAGGAUCAAGUGAAGUUGAGGAGAUCAAUUGAGAAGGAAAACACUAAUAAGGUUGAGAGUAAAAGUGUAGAAAAAUGAGAGGCCGAGAGUUCUAGUGAGAAGAAGAGAGUGAUUGAGAGUGAAAAUAAAGAGAAAAACAAAGAGAGGAGAGGAGUGAAAAGGUAUUGAGUGAGACUGGAAAGAAAGUGAGUCCAGUGCAAAAGGAGAGCAAAGAGAGAAAAGUGAGCUUAUUUGCAAAAAAAAGAGAUGUUAAGAGUGCAUUCUAUGCUAGAGAGCCAAUGAUUGUACUUAUGUACAAGGAAGCUUAUUUGAAUCUUACUGACCUGAAUACUUUUUUGCCUAGUUCUGCUAUUUCUCUUUUACAGGAGUUUGAAGAUGUCUUUUCUAAUGAUGCCUAAUGAGUUACCACCUAUUAGAGGGAUCGAACAUCAGAUUGAUUUUGUUCAUGGAGUAGUAAUUCCUAAUUGAUCGGCUUACAAAAGUAAUCUUGAGGAGACAAAGGAACUUCAAAGGCAAGUUGAUGAGUUAUUGGCAAAAGGGCAUGUGAAAGAGAGAAUGAGUCCAUGUGCAGUUCUAGUGCUAUUGGUGCCUAAGAAGGAUGGUUCUUGGAGGAUGUGUAUUGACUGUCGAGCUAUCAACAAGAUUACGGUAAAGUAUAGAUAUCUCAUUCCUAGGCUAAAUGACAUGUUAGAUAAAUUGCAUGGUACUUGUGUUUUUUCAAAAAUUCAUUUAAAAAAUGGAUACCACCAGAUUAGGAUGAAAGUGGGAGAUAAGUGGAAAACUGCUUUCAAAACAAAAUAUAGUUUAUAUGAGUGGUUAGUUGUGCCUUUUGGAUUGACUAAUGCACCUAGUACAUUCAUAAGAUUAAUGAACCACAUUUUGCGUGCAUUCAUUGGUAAGUUUGUGGUAGUAUACUUUGAUGAUAUAUUAGUGUACAGUAAAAACAUGGAAGAACAUAUGCGUCAUUUGAGGUGUGUGUUUGAAGUGCUUAGAAAAGAGAAAUUGUAUGCUAAUCUUAAAAAGUGUACUUUUUGCAUGAAAAGAAUUAUGUUUUUGGGUUAUGUGAUUAGUGCAAAAGGUAUCGAGAUGAAUGAAGAGAAGGUGAAAGCUAUCCGUGACUGGCCGAUUCUUACAUCUGUUACUGAGGUACGUAGUUUUCAUGAUUUAUCUAGUUCUUAUAGAAUGAUUGUUAAGGAUUUUAGUACUUUAGCUGCACCCUUGACGGAGAUUGUUAAAAAGAAUGUUGGCUUUACAUGGGGUGAGGAACAAAACCGUGCUUUUAACUUAAUCAAAGAUAAGUUAUGUUCUGCUCCAUUACUGAGUCUUCCUAAUUUCACUAAAACAUUUAAAAUAGAAUGUGAUGCUUCUGGAAUUGGUAUAGGUGCUGUUUUUAUGCAAAAGAGACGUCCCAUUACAUAUUUUAGUGAAAAGCUAAAUAGUGUGGCAUUGAACUACUCAACGUAUGACAGAGUUUUGUGCCCUUGUGUGAGCGUUGGAGACAUGGUAACACUACUUGUGGCCAAAGAAGUUCAUGAUUCAUUCUGACCAUGAGUCAUUGAAACACUUAAAGGGGCAAAACAAGCUCAACCGUAGGCAUGCCAAGUGGGUGGAAUUUGUUGAGACUUUUCCUAUGUUAUCCAGUAUAAGCAAGGUAAGGAAAAUGUAGUUGCUGAUGCAUUGUCACGCAGGUAUGCUCUUAUCUCUACUCUUAAUGCUAAAUUGUUAGGUUUUGAGUAUGUGAAGGAGUUGUAUGCUAGGGAUUCUGAUUUUGCUGUUGUUUAUGAUGCAUGUGAGAAAACUGCUUUUCAAAAGUUUUAUAGGCAUGAUGGGUUUUUAUUUCGUGAGAAUAAAUUAUGUGUGCCUAAUUGCUCUAUGAGGGAGUUACUUGUGUGUAAGUCACAUAGUGGUGGUCUCAUGGGACAUUUUGGGGUUACUAAGACUUUGGAUACAUUGAGAGAACACUUCUUUUGGCCUCAUAUGAAGAGAGAUGGGGAGAAAGCGUGUUCUAGGUGUAUCACAUGUAAGAAAGCAAAGUCUAAGGUCUUACCUCAAGGCUUAUAUACACCUUUGCCUGUACCUAGUGAACCAUGGGUUGAUUUGUCUAUGGACUUUAUUUUGAGGUUACCUAGGUCUAGGAAAGGUAAAGAUUCUAUAUUUUCGGUAGUGGACAGAUUUUCCAAGAUGGCACAUUUUAUUCCUUGCCAUAAAACUGAUGACGCAACAAAUAUUGCUGAUUUAUUCUUU